UCAUAAGUUCAUUCAGCCAGUUUCUGAUCACGGUGAGGUCCACACAAUUCAUGCCUUGGGCGAUGAGAUCUUGUGGCCAGCACCCAAAGCCACCAGAAAUACCAUAUAACCAGUCGUCUCUAUGAACUCAAGGAGGCCCCUUUUCCAUCAAGGUAGAAUGGUGACCUAGGAUUAAGCAACAAUCAUGAGAUAACAAACAGAACAAAGUGGUCAUUGGUCGACUCGACAUUACUACCAGGUGGGCUAGUGUAAUGAACUUAAAGGAUCAUAAGAUACCCAGAUCACGACCAGCUACAUUAGCAUACUGUCAUGUUGGUUACUAUAAUUAAUUAAAUAGCUGAGCAUCUUUAGCAUCGAACAAAGCAGAAUUACAAGCAUGCUAAGAUUAAAUAAGGACCUAAUCAGCCAGUUUUGCUAGGCAUCGAUGGCAAUGCCCACAUCUCACAGAAAAAUUGACAGGCUGACCAAUGAAACAUAAAAAAGCAUGGUCCAAGUGACAACAAGUAGGCUUCACACCUUCCACAAGCAGAUUGUCAAGCUGAAAAAUGAAAUCUAGAAGCGAGAUCCAAUUGACAGCAAAUCUAUAUAUCUGCUGGUCCCAGCUGUCGAACGAUUUAGAUAAAUUGGCUGCUGCUAAAAAGCUCAAGGUGCCACAGUACUUGUUACUAUGUAACUACUGGCAGGUUAAUUGUUUACAAAACUUAGAAAAACAAGAUGCAAUGGUGUAUAACACACAGAGAUAGAUGUGCGAGGAAAAAGACCACAACAAUGUUUGUUAAAAGAAGGACCGAGUUCUACUGACUGAAUAGUUAUUGAUCACAACAUGUUAAAGAAGAAUCAAAAUCUUCCGCUUAAUAUGGCAAUACCUAGAACCGGAUAGCUUUUUUCCUGCUAAUCACAGUCAUGAUAGCUCAUGGAGCAUUCACCGGUUCCCCUUGACAUUCGCCACCAUCUUUUCUAUGAUGGAACCCGCCUUCGGUUUUGCCGGUGCUUGCCGAAGUUGGCUGGCAGGGUUGCUUGCCCAUCACUGCAGCAAACAGUUUCCAACAAACACACGGUCAGGUGUCGCUGGAGCAAGGGUAUAGGACGACAACAAUGUAGCAUACAACAGCUAUGCACACAACUUAUGGAUAUCAUCAAGUGUACCACAUAUAGUGAUCAGAAAUGAACUAAGGCACCAUUUUUCAGAAUUCAACUUAGCAAGGUUUGCAUAGAACUAUACAGUAUCAGAAAAGAACCAAGGAAAGAAGAUUAAUUAUAGCAUAUAACUAUAUAUAGUGUAUGUAUAAAGGAAAAUGGGAACUUUGGAGUUACAACAAUGACCAAUCAACUCUACAUCCAGACUAAGAACCUCAGAAAGAAACAUGUGUGACUUAUGAAUACUACUACUGCUAUUAAGGAGAAGUUUGCAUUCAGCCAGCACUUUUGCAGAGUCUGGGUUGAUCUGAAAGAAACACAUACAUAACUCAGAAGCAGAAAAUCCGUGCCACCGUCACAAAGCCAAAUUGAAUGCCUGCCUUGUCACGCUACUGUAUGAGAAGCAACUAAACGGUAGAGAUCAAAAAGGGAGAGAGAAAGAGAGAUUAAUGAC
This 1591-nucleotide long non-coding RNA is filed under the name Triticum aestivum (bread wheat). RNAcentral's name for it is "long non-coding RNA (TAES_LNC006562)". The record is from RNAcentral. Lineage: Eukaryota; Viridiplantae; Streptophyta; Magnoliopsida; Poales; Poaceae.